RNAcentral lists this transfer-messenger RNA (354 nucleotides) under Primorskyibacter sedentarius. RNAcentral's name for it is "Alphaproteobacteria transfer-messenger RNA". It matches the Rfam family "Alphaproteobacteria transfer-messenger RNA". Rfam says of the family: Bacterial tmRNA, also known as 10Sa RNA or SsrA, is named for its dual tRNA and mRNA-like properties. Its role is to liberate the mRNA from a stalled ribosome. To accomplish this part of the tmRNA is used as a reading frame that ends in a translation stop signal. The record is from Rfam by way of RNAcentral. Lineage: Bacteria; Pseudomonadati; Pseudomonadota; Alphaproteobacteria; Rhodobacterales; Roseobacteraceae.
CCCCUUUGCAUGCCCGCCAAAGCCCCCUAUAUUCACCUUGCUCCUUCGGGAGCUAUGGACAUAAACGCGCUCGUAAUAAGCGGAUCGGACCCGGGGGCGGUACCCGGCGGCUCCACCAAAUAUCCUUCAUUUGGGGAUCAUGGGGCCGAAAUAGGAUCGACGAACGUCUAAAGGGGUUAGCUUUGUCCCGGUGAGUUACCACCGUUAUCGGUACAAAUCGUACAGUUGCAAAUGACAACCGUGCUCCGACAAUGGCUCUGGCUGCGUAAGCAGUUCGAGUUUGUCGAACUUAAGCCCUUGCGCCUAGCAGCGUAAGGCGGGGUUCGCAGGCACCUGGCAACAGAAGCCUGCACU